UACAGAGGUCUCAAGCGUUGUUCGGAUUCAUUGGGCGUAAAGGGUGCGUAGGUGGCGCCGUAAGUCAGGUGUGAAAUCUCGGGGCUCAACCCCGAAACUGCACUUGAUACUGCGGUGCUCGAGUACUGGAGAGGAGAUUGGAAUUUACGGUGUAGCAGUGAAAUGCGUAGAUAUCGUAAGGAGGACCAGUGGCGAAGGCGAAUCUCUGGACAGUUACUGACACUGAGGCACGAAGGCCAGGGGAGCAAACGGG
Molecule: ribosomal RNA, 253 nt
Filed under: uncultured bacterium
Lineage: Bacteria
Description: partial 16S ribosomal RNA
Rfam family: Bacterial small subunit ribosomal RNA
Source: RNAcentral